Molecule: ribosomal RNA, 436 nt
Filed under: uncultured Glomus
Lineage: Eukaryota; Fungi; Glomeromycota; Glomeromycetes; Glomerales; Glomeraceae
Description: SSU rRNA
Rfam family: Eukaryotic small subunit ribosomal RNA
Source: RNAcentral
AGCAGCCGCGGUAAUUCCAGCUCCAAUAGCGUAUAUUAAAGUUGUUGCAGUUAAAAAGCUCGUAGUUGAAUUUCGGGACUAAUAUGUCGGUCGUACUUUGUACGUACUAGCAUUAUUGGUUUCUCCCUUCUGACGAACCACGAUGUCAUUAAUUUGGUGUCAUGGGAAAUCAGGACUGUUACUUUGAAAAAUUAGAGUGUUUAAAGCAAGCUCGCGCUUGAAUACAUUAGCAUGGAAUAAUGAAAUAGGACGUUUGAUUCUAUUUUGUUGGUUUCUAGGAUCGACGUAAUGAUUAAUAGGGAUAGUUGGGGGCAUUAGUAUUCAAUUGUCAGAGGUGAAAUUCUUGGAUUUAUUGAAGACUAACUACUGCGAAAGCAUUUGCCAAGGAUGUUUUCAUUAAUCAAGAACGAAAGUUAGGGGAUCGAAGACGAUCAGA